GAGAAAUUAGUUAACUAAUAACACUACCUUGUCAAGGCAUUAUAAUGAGUUUAAACCUCAUAUUUCUUU
RNAcentral lists this transfer RNA (69 nucleotides) under Allobates aff. trilineatus 1 AR-2020. RNAcentral's name for it is "tRNA-Asp". It matches the Rfam family "tRNA". From Rfam's summary of the family: Transfer RNA (tRNA) molecules are approximately 80 nucleotides in length. Their secondary structure includes four short double-helical elements and three loops (D, anti-codon, and T loops). Lineage: Eukaryota; Metazoa; Chordata; Amphibia; Anura; Aromobatidae. The record is from RNAcentral.